Molecule: long non-coding RNA, 2410 nt
Filed under: Triticum aestivum (bread wheat)
Lineage: Eukaryota; Viridiplantae; Streptophyta; Magnoliopsida; Poales; Poaceae
Description: long non-coding RNA (TAES_LNC015396)
Source: RNAcentral
GGCAUUAUAUUGAUAAAGCUAGAGAGUCAUACAAGGUCUCCCGGAUACAACCCAGAGCGGAAUGAAAAACGCACAGCAAAUUAAAGUUCUUACAAGAAUUGGCCAAAACAUGGGCCACUGCAUUACAAUGCCGACAAGUAAAGGUCAUGGUCACUUGUUUGAUCACCCGCAAAAAAAAUGGUUGCUUGUUUGAUAUAAACCAUAGAGCCCUCAUUGAUCCCAGAUGGAGUUAAUCCGUUGUACCAAAGAGAGGCAAUCUGAGGCGAAUAUCACGUGCGUGAAUUGCUUGUCUCGAGCCAUUGUUACCACUCGAUGGCACGCAAGCGCUUCCUUCUUCGGAUCCAAGAAUCCAGAAUUGGCUCAGAAUAUGCCACGAGGCAAUUUCCUUCAUGAUCAAGAGCCACCACUCAUAAACCAGUUUUUGUUGAUAUUAGCAAAAAUAGCAGCAUCCGAAUAAAAUUGAGCCAUACCUGCCGGCGGCGGAAAGCAACUGGAGCUAGAAGCAUGAGUCUCACGUCUUUUAGCUAGUAUUGGCUUGUAUAAAUGCAUCAGUAUCAUCUCAACAUAAGCACGGACCUUCGCAAUAGAAACACGUGUAUGAUGAUAAACAACUUAUUUUCUUGCCACAUUUCGGGCUUUCCAUAUGUGCCAUACCGUCACAGCAAGAACAGUGGCUUUCCGGUUGGAAGAACAAAGGACAAAGUCAAAUAACCACUGCAUGGGUGAGCGAAAAUUAUGAGCGGCACAAAUUAACAUCAAAGCAAAGAUUUUUACCCCAUCCCAUAUGGCACGAGCAUGGGGACAAAAUAGGAUUGCAUCCUCAAUACUUUUCGGUCUACAACAAAAGCAUUGGAGCAGGUACUUGCCGCUGAAGAAGUUGUUCGCCGGAAGGCAAAUAAUUAAGUGUGAAACGCCAUAAGAGAAUCUUCAUUUUAUCAGCAGAUUUGAUCGGCCAUAUGGAUUUUCAAAUUUUCUCUUAUGUUGCUCUAUCAUAAGAAUGGCCAAUCCUUUGAGUUUAACGCCAAAGCCCAUCACAUGCCUUUGGAAUCAUUACAGCAGGCAUCAAAGAAAAAAUGACGGUUCACCUUCUCCCCCGGGCUUGACACGCCUCUGCGAGCCGCCGUGUCGAAAAAUGACUUACGCGGCAAAGCAUAAUCCAAAUCGGCAUAAACAUUGUUGCUUUGCUAAUCUUUACCUACUAUAAUAAAGCAGCGAUUGCUUUUGGUUGUACGUCGUCAGCGUUUUUGCAAAACAGUCCUUCUAUUUCUUUGAAAUAAACCCGCAGUCUCUGUUUAAGUGCCACUCUGAAAAAGGUUUUAUUUUUACCUAAACACCCCCACAUUUGUUAAAAAUUAUGCCCACGACCCUAUCUCUUAUUGGACUGGCUCAUCACCGCGCAUCUCGCCGCUUAUCAUGUCGUUCUGCACCGCGGGGCACGCGCCGCCGGUGCCGCGGCGGGCGUCCGCGCCGAGGCGGGGCACCGUCUGGAGCACGGCGUGCACUCGACGGACACCGGAGCGAAGCGUGUUUGAGGCGCGAGAGGCGGGAGGCUGGAUCUCGACGCGGCUCCUCUUCACACACAGCCCAGCCGCCGCCCCGCUGCCAUGAACAGCCCAGCCGCGGAGAGGUGUGAGAUCCGGGGCGGGGAGGGAGAAACGAGCUUACGGCUUCGUCCUCGCUCGUGGAUGCGUAGACGAACAGAAGGCAAGCGUUUGUCUCCUUCGGUCUCGAUGCGGACGAGCAGCUGCGGCUAGGCCCUCGGCGCAACGUGCAGGCGAGCGGGCGUGCAGUGGCUAGGUGUGAUGCGCACCACGCGCGAACCAGUGCGGUCACGCGGCGAGCAGAGUGUCCUGGCGAGCGGGAAGCUUGGGGGUCAACGCAUCCUGGCGAACGGUCGUUGUUGCGCUCGAGCGCUGCUCCCUCGCGCUGGAAGAAAGUUCGGCGGCAACUCUCCAGGGACUUGUGGCGGGGCGACACGGAUCCGACAGGGACGGCCUGGAUCUGGACAGGGUUGAGGAGGGCGCGGCUCCCAGGGUUGGACUAUUGGACUUGAGCUCGAUGCAACAUCCAUGGCAGCUCGCGGUCCUGUAGCAAUGAGAAGAGAGAGGAAGUUAAGAGAGAUAGAGAAGAAAGAGGAAGGAGGAAGAAGAAGGAGAAGGGAGCAGAGGCAGGGGGCUGCCCGGCUUGCUGCUGGUGCUCGCCGGCGCACGCGGCUCGGGGAGGCUCGGGCGCUCGUGCAGCUCCAUGGGAGGAGCUCAUGGAUGGCCGGAUGGAUGGAUAAGAGGAAGGAUAGCAGCGCCGCUGGGAGGAAUGGCAACGUGGAUAACGUCCACACAAUGGGAAGCUCUCGGUGGGGAUUCUUGGUAUGGAAUGUGGAUUGCUUUAAUGGCUGCACUGAUGAGUGACGAGA